RNAcentral lists this ribosomal RNA (253 nucleotides) under uncultured bacterium. Its description in RNAcentral is "partial 16S ribosomal RNA". It matches the Rfam family "Bacterial small subunit ribosomal RNA", at positions 524 to 776 of the family's 1533-position model. The record is from RNAcentral.
UACGAAGGGGGCUAGCGUUGCUCGGAAUUACUGGGCGUAAAGGAAGCGUAGGCGGACAGUUUAGUCAGAGGUGAAAGCCCAGGGCUCAACCUUGGAAUUGCCUUUGAUACUGAUUGUCUUGAGUACGGGAGAGGUGUGUGGAACUCCGAGUGUAGAGGUGAAAUUCGUAGAUAUGGGGAGGAACACCGGUGGCGAAGGCGGCCAUCUGGACGGUGGCUGACGCUGAGACGCGAAAGCGUGGGGAGCAAACGGG